This 74-nucleotide transfer RNA is filed under the name Blyttiomyces helicus. It matches the Rfam family "tRNA". From Rfam's summary of the family: Transfer RNA (tRNA) molecules are approximately 80 nucleotides in length. Their secondary structure includes four short double-helical elements and three loops (D, anti-codon, and T loops). Further hydrogen bonds mediate the characteristic L-shaped molecular structure. tRNAs have two regions of fundamental functional importance: the anti-codon, which is responsible for specific mRNA codon recognition, and the 3' end, to which the tRNAs corresponding amino acid is attached (by aminoacyl-tRNA synthetases). tRNAs cope with the degeneracy of the genetic code in two manners: having more than one tRNA (with a specific anti-codon) for a particular amino acid; and 'wobble' base-pairing, i.e. permitting non-standard base-pairing at the 3rd anti-codon position. Lineage: Eukaryota; Fungi; Chytridiomycota; Chytridiomycetes. The record is from Rfam by way of RNAcentral.
GCUCCCAUAGUGUAGUGGUUUAUCACGUUCGCUUUACACGCGAAAGGCCCUCGGUUCGAGCCCGAGUGGGAGCA